GGACACGUAGCUCAGCUGGAUAGAGCGUCGGCCUCCGGAGCCGAAGGUCUGCGGUUCGAACCCGCACGUGUUCA
RNAcentral lists this transfer RNA (74 nucleotides) under Spirochaetales bacterium. RNAcentral describes it as "tRNA-Arg". It matches the Rfam family "tRNA". Rfam says of the family: Transfer RNA (tRNA) molecules are approximately 80 nucleotides in length. Their secondary structure includes four short double-helical elements and three loops (D, anti-codon, and T loops). Further hydrogen bonds mediate the characteristic L-shaped molecular structure. tRNAs have two regions of fundamental functional importance: the anti-codon, which is responsible for specific mRNA codon recognition, and the 3' end, to which the tRNAs corresponding amino acid is attached (by aminoacyl-tRNA synthetases). tRNAs cope with the degeneracy of the genetic code in two manners: having more than one tRNA (with a specific anti-codon) for a particular amino acid; and 'wobble' base-pairing, i.e. permitting non-standard base-pairing at the 3rd anti-codon position. Lineage: Bacteria; Pseudomonadati; Spirochaetota; Spirochaetia; Spirochaetales. The record is from RNAcentral.